Molecule: long non-coding RNA, 2983 nt
Filed under: Gossypium barbadense (sea-island cotton)
Lineage: Eukaryota; Viridiplantae; Streptophyta; Magnoliopsida; Malvales; Malvaceae
Description: long non-coding RNA (GBAR_LNC004144)
Source: RNAcentral
AUAAUAAUUAAAGGAAAUUUAAUGAAAACCAACGUUUGUUUAAAGCCAAAAGACGAUCACCAUGGCUACUCUGAAUCCCCUCCGGCUCCAAGUCCCCACAUCAAGGCUCACCUGCAAGGUUAAGGAAAGGGGGUGAGUUUGGAAACUCAAUGUGCAACAAGCCCCUUUCAGAGCCCAAAACAAUGACAGCCUGUUGGGUCUAAGCCCAAAUCCAAUCUCAAACAUGUACUGGGCCAUAGCCCUUUUCAUAUUUCAUAUUUCAUAACACUGGGCCAAAGCCUUUUCAAAUUUCAUAUUACUGGGCUGUAAACGGUAUGACCCACAGGCCCAUUUCAAUAUUACAUAUAAUGUCAAUGAAAGAAUGCAAGCCCAAUUGGGGAGACUACUCAACCCACCAUCCGCUACUCUCCACCCGUACCAACCAACACACCAUGUGGGGAUUAACUCGACCCACCCCGCCAUAACUCUCCACUGGCAGCAUAGCUGCUUUAUCAUAUAACUGGAGGCCUAGCCUCUUUUAGUAACUGGGGCAAAAGCCCUUUUUAUAACUAGGGCAUAAGCCCUUCAUCACAACUGGGGCAUAAUCCCUUUAAUAACUGGGGCAUAAGCCCUUUAAUAACUGGGGCAUAAGCCCUUUUGCACUUCCUCUAUCCAUAUAAAAACCCAACCCAAUGCAUUUAUGAAUAUCUCAUGUGCAUAUCAUACAUAUCAUGUGCAUAUCAUACAUGUCAUGUGCAUAUCAUACAUAUCAUGUUUAUCAAAAUCCCAUGCAUUAAGUUCAUAUAUAAACCCUAGGGGUAUAAUGGUCAUUUUUACAUAGGGGCAAAACGGUCAUUUUCAUAUUAUAAGGGUAAUUCUGCAAUUUUAUCGAAAAUUAGGGAUUUUUCCAUGUUCAUCAUCAGUUACUAACUAUUCAUUUGUUUAACCGCGUUUCUAGCCCACUUUUAACGAAACCGAGUUAUUGAGCCUAAACCCCUAAUGGGCCCUACUUAGCCGAUUUUGUCAUCUAGGCCCAUUUAGCCUAUAUCCAUAAUAGUAUUAAUAGUCUUAACAAGCAAUUUAACAGAUUUCCAUUUUCUACCAAUUUUACCCAAAUGGGCUCGAAAGCCUAUUGGGCCCUAUUUCAGCCUCUCGAGGCCCAACUUACCGUGAACGCCAAAAACACAUCCUUACCGUUUCCAUUGUUCCCGAUCAUCAUCUCAUCGAUUCUAACUAACUAGUGAGCGUUCGCUUGCUCACAAGUCCUCGAAAUGCCAGAAUUUCGGUAUUUCAGCUUUUCGGCAUUUAUCACUUUAAGCUAUGAAAAAGGGUUCGUUACACACCUGAUUUGCGAUAUUCCUUGACGAGAUCUCCUAUGCGAUUUCUCUUAUAAUCAACCACUUAUAUAUUAGACCAUGUUAUUAUUAAACCAAAUCGAAAACUACCUAUUAUCAUCACUUACACAUUCGGCCACCAUCCACAAUGGCCCUUGGGUUCAUACCUUUACCUAAGUUGAUGACUAGAUUUAGUCACUUCGAUGAUCCAAGCUUUUCACACACUCCUCGAUCGGUAGCCUUUAAUCCUCACUAGCACCAACAAACCAAAUAACACCAAAAACCCUUUUAGCCUUAGUCGACAGAGGGGUUUUCAGCUUUUCUUAAACCACAAGAUACAAAUGGAAAGAAGGUUCGAAUACUUACCAAGAGAUCUACUCGUUGAAGAACGUUCUAAAUACCUUCCUACCCCAUAUCCGUUGUGAAUCCAACUUAAACUUGUGUAGAAAAUAGAUCUAAAUAUUAAUUCCCGAAUCACUAAAAUAUGAAGCUUUCGGCUUUUCAGCAAAUAUUAAUCUAAGCUAUUACGAGGGUUAGUACACACCUGUUACGGGUUGAAGUUGAAACGUUUCCAUAAUCAAUCACCUACGAUAACCACCACCUGUCACUCAAACUCAACUAUUCCAAUAUCAAUAUAUGUAAAUCCUAAGCACAUCAGUCAUACGGAACAUAAGGGCAUAUUCGUUAUUUUACCAUACAGGGGUAUUACGGUCACUUUACCCUACAGGGGCUUUACGGUCUUUUUACCUGAUAGGGGUAUUUUAGUCAUUUCAUCCUACAAGGGUGUUUUGGUAAAUCUACAAACCGAGGGUAUUUCAGUAAUUUUGUAAACCAAUGGUAUUUCUAUAAUUUUUAAAAAGUCAAGGGUAUUUCUGUAACUUUGUAAAUUAGGGGUAUUUUGGUAAUUUUAUAAAUUGAGGGUAUUUCGGUAAUUUCACAAACCAAGGGUAUUUUGGUAAUUUUACAAACUAGGGGUAUUUUGGUAAUUUUACAAACUAAUGGUAUUUUAGUAAUUUUGUAAAUCGAGGGUAAAACAGUAAUUCUAUAAAUCAAGGGUAAAAUAGUAAUUCUAUAAAUCGAGGGUAAAACGGUAAUUCUGUAAAUCAAGGGUAAAACGGUAAUUCUGUAAGUCGAGGGUAAAACGAUAAUUAUGUAAAUCAGGGGUAGAACGAUAAUUAUGUAAAUCGGGGGUAAAAUGGUAAUUUUGUAAAUUGGGGGUACUUUGGUAAUUUUACAAGUCGAAGGUAUUUCAGUAAUUUUACAAAUCGAGGGUAUUUCAGUAUUUUUACAAACUAAGGGUAUUUCGAUAAUUUUAGUAAACUAAAGUAUUCUAAACAUGGAUAACAAUACUAAUGGCUCUAAAGCCCAUUCUCGGCCCAAAUGGGCCCACACGCUCGUGUGGCCCUUUUAGCCCAAAUCUAGCCACAAAUAUUAGAUUCACCUAGCCUAGCCCAAUAUUUACUACACAAUCAAACAACUUAUCCAAUUGGGCCUGUAGGCCCAUUAGGCCCACAUGACCCCUUUCGACCCAUCGCGGCCCGAAGUAGCCAUCCUACAGCUAGAGUAGUAAGAAAUACACACCUGAUAGGAGACUGGAGUUAAUCCACACUCCGAGCACUCUUAGCCGACGCCCAACCCAAACGAGCACGCCAUACAGCGAAAGGGAUCAG